Magallana angulata is the source of this 2339-nucleotide long non-coding RNA. RefSeq lists it as uncharacterized. The record is from RefSeq and is a predicted model, not a curated record. The transcript is spliced from 3 exons. NCBI's taxonomy places the organism in Eukaryota, Metazoa, Mollusca, Bivalvia, Ostreida, Ostreidae.
UAAUGGUGGAUGCGAGUCAUGCGAAAUGUCUGAAAAGGUGAUCGAAAACCUGUUUAAACGAUACAGGAAAACAAAGAGAAAAGAAAGAAAUGCGAUCGGGAUCAAUUACCGGUAAUCAAGAUUAAGCAAACGGUCUCUGAAUUUCUCCAAAAUGCUUAUGUGUUUGUCGGCCACGAUUUUACCAUGGGGUGCUUGUGCAAAUGGUUCGUAAGGCACAUGGAAGAAGCUAAAUUUAUAAAAUAACGCUCAGAUCCCAACAUCGACAGAGUUGAAAUAUGGAAAACAAAAUUCUCCGCAGACCUUUUAGUUACAAUGAACCAUGAUAGUGGCAGACAGAACCCGAACCCAGGGCCACCAUGUCCAAACCAGCUAGUCCACGCUAUCAAAUGUGCUAUACACCUCUGUUAUAUGUAAGUAUUACACACAUUACACUUAAGCAUUACAUCAAGGUUGUCUAUAAAAAUUGAAGUAGAAGGAAGAAAUAAAAAAAUAGAAUGGGGGUCUGGAGGUAAAGCUUAUAGCAGAUUGUGUUUGAAAUGCAAUAAUAGCUGGGUAAUUACAUCAUUAUAAUUCCCCGCCCCCAGUAUUAGAGACAACCUUGAUUACACACAUUACAUUUAAGUAUUACACACAUUACGUGUAAGUAUACUCUGGUGAGUCUGGUGGCUGCAGAAGACAACACUAAUCCCCAUGAUGUUGUCAGUAGUUAUGAAGACUGAAGAGGAAGAAGUGGAUGAUGAGACAGCUCUUGGUGGUAACUAAAACAAAUCUAGUCAUCAACAAACAUAAUUUACUUAUUUUAGCUGCUGGUCUGUAGCUCCCGGUCUGAAAAAUUUGGAUGGAGGACCAGGUCGUCCAUCCAAAUAUUUUAAAUUUGAUUAGCGAAAUAUAUUUUUAUGAGAAUGUAAUAAGUUCGUUGUUUAAAUUUUUGUUUAUUUGUAGGCAUAUAUGGAAAUGGUCAUGUAUUGGAAAGGUGGUGUUCUCAACUCACUCUGCACAUGCACAGGUACAUGAAUUGUGGUGAUUUGUUGCAAGCCUCCCCAAGUGAAAUUGGAUCUUCCUGUUUUUACACCAAGAUACAGAGAUCACCUGAGAUACAGAAGGAACCAUUAAGCUGACUCCUAUGUCAGAAUUCAGUUGUAUCUAAGGUAAGUUAAAAUUUAAUGAUUUUAAACAAAAUAAGUUUUCCUUUUAUUUGAAUGUUUUUUUUUAAUUGUUUUUGAAUGACUUGAAAAUCUAUACAAGUAUUUCUCAUUCUUAAUUUUUUGUUUUGAUAUUAAGCAAAGAUGUUUUUUUAACAGGUAAAUAUUAAGUGAUGGUAGGAUGGACAUAUACUGUGGAAUCAUUAAAAUUCGUGGUGGCUCAAUUUUCGUGGUAUUCGUGGGUAGCGCAUGCCCACGAAUUUACAAUGAAUUUACAUCCUCAACGAAAUUUAAUAAUAAAAGAAUAAGUCUACCAUCUGAAACUAAAAACUGAUGGAUCCACGAAAUUACAUCCCUACGAAUAUGCAAAAAACAUGAAUUUACAUCCUCAACGAAAUUUAAUAAUAAAAGAAUAAGUCUACCAUCUGAAACUAAAAACUGAUGGAUCCACGAAAUUACAUCCCCACGAAUAUGCAAAAAACACACAAUCCACGAAAAUUGGCCCCCACAAAAUUAAAUGACUCCACAGUAGUAUUUCACAUUCAGUGCAUUACUACUCUUACACAAUUACAGAAAAAUUACCACAAAGAAAAUGUUGUACAUUAUUACAAUGAAUUUAAGAAUGACUUUAUUUUAAAGAAUCAAACAGAAACACUGUUUCCCAAACUGCUUACAGUUUUUCAUUAACACAGCAAUAGUACAGUAUCUCUGUAUAGAAAUUGCAACUGUCCCAUUAAAAUUAAAUGUAUUUUACAUCUUGAUUUUUUAUGUUUGUUAGAAAAACCAUAUCCAAAUAAUUAUAUGUAUCAUUAAUCAUUUACUUUUGGCAUGGUAUAAAAAAAUUGAGAAAGAUAAAAAAAUCAAUGCAGUGAGUUUGAAUGAGCAAUAUUUUAUAACCUGUUUAAAAAAAUUAUUCAAAGUUUGUGAUUUUUUUUUUAGUUUCAUUACAUACAUGUGUAUUUAGUUGUUCAUAAAAGAUGCAAAAAAAAUUACAAAGAUAUGGUUUGAUGAAUCACAAGACUAUAAGACCUGUUGCCUUGGACCAAGUACAUCAUAAACAGAUUUUGAAAUGCUGCAAGCAUCAGUAAUCUAUAAUUAUGAGGAAUUUUUUGUAGUUUGAUUAGGGCCCCACUCUGCAGAUGCUCUAUAGUAAAUGUGUUGCCUGUCUGUAAAGCUGUUAAUCUGAUUUCAUUUGUC